UAGUGUCUGAAGAGCAUUGUCUGCUACAUCCAGCAAGUGGAAGGCAGUCAAGCCGUGGAAGGCAUGGGCAGCGAUGGAGAUGCUCCUGCGGUGCCCACAGCUGCUGCAAACGCUGACGCAGCCCAGCACCGCAGCACGCCCUCCUCUGCUUCCGAAGACCUGGCCCCGAUGUCACAGAACUGGCAGUGGUCCUAGUCUCUUCUACCCUGUGGACUGCUCCUACCUUGACUAGGAGGCCUUGUCGAUGAGUCUUGCAGAGAUGAUGAUGGAAGGCCAGCUCCAAAUUGUAUUGCAGAUGCUCCACUCUCCUCUUCUCUUGGAGCCCAGGACGGUCUGAAGGAAGGGACGGGACCAGAGUGAACACCGGAAACAACAAAGACAGUCGUGUCC
RNAcentral lists this long non-coding RNA (390 nucleotides) under Mus pahari (shrew mouse). Its description in RNAcentral is "lncRNA (MGP_PahariEiJ_G0003482.1)". The record is from RNAcentral. Lineage: Eukaryota; Metazoa; Chordata; Mammalia; Rodentia; Muridae.